AGUGAACGCUGGCGGUAGGCCUAACACAUGCAAGUCGAACGGCAGCACAGUAAGAGCUUGCUCUUACGGGUGGCGAGUGGCGGACGGGUGAGGAAUACAUCGGAAUCUACUUUUUCGUGGGUGAUAACGUAGGGAAACUUACGCUAAUACCGCAUACGACCUACGGGUGAAAGCAGGGGAUCUUCGGACCUUGCGCGAUUGAAUGAGCCGAUGUCGGAUUAGCUAGUUGGCGGGGUAAAGGCCCACCAAGGCGACGAUCCGUAGCUGGCCUGAGAGGAUGAUCAGCCACACUGGAACUGAGACACGGUCCAGACUCCUACGGGAGGCAGCAGUGGGGAAUAUUGGACAAUGGGCGCAAGCCUGAUCCAGCCAUACCGCGUGGGUGAAGAAGGCCUUCGGGUUGUAAAGCCCUUUUGUUGGGAAAGAAAAGCAGCAGGUUAAUACCCCGCUGUUCUGACGGUACCCAAAGAAUAAGCACCGGCUAACUUCGUG
RNAcentral lists this ribosomal RNA (492 nucleotides) under uncultured bacterium. RNAcentral's name for it is "partial 16S ribosomal RNA". It matches the Rfam family "Bacterial small subunit ribosomal RNA", at positions 29 to 507 of the family's 1533-position model. The record is from RNAcentral.